AGCGCCCAGGUGGAUCCCCGCUCCCAGGCUCGCUCUCAGCGCCUCUGCUCGCAGCGAUGGGCCCCGGGUGGAUCCGGGCCUGGCACGGACCAGACGCUGCUGCCGCCGCCGUCGUGAGCCGGACCCGGCUGGGAGCUUCUGCCCCCGGGAGAAUAAACCAUCCCUCAUUCAGACUGGUCCAGAAGCAACCCUGCAGACCCACCUCCUUGUAUUUGAGGCCGAGAAAUCCAGAAAAGAAAACCGUGUUGUGUUUUUAGAAACUAGAAAGGAACUCUUCCCGAAGCCCACAUAUAAAUGAACUUUUAAAUUUGCUCCUUUCAUAUUUAAGGGGACAGAAUAAAAACUGGUCCCAGUUCCCAGGGAAAUCAUGUCUUGUUUAUACUAAUCUGGAAUAUAUCUGGGGAUGGGCACUAUAUAAAAUCAAAUUUUCCAUACUACAAAUCUGUAAAAUGCAAAAGGUUUGUUUAUAGAAUUUUCUAUAUCGUUUCAUUAUUUUUUUUGGAUAAAGAAAAUAUUAAAAAUCAUCUUCAGUA
Molecule: long non-coding RNA, 533 nt
Organism: Emys orbicularis (European pond turtle)
Lineage: Eukaryota; Metazoa; Chordata; Testudines; Emydidae
Exons: 2
Source: RefSeq, a predicted model, not a curated record